RNAcentral lists this ribosomal RNA (572 nucleotides) under bacterium. RNAcentral's name for it is "partial 23S ribosomal RNA". It matches the Rfam family "Bacterial large subunit ribosomal RNA", at positions 210 to 732 of the family's 2925-position model. The record is from RNAcentral.
CUGGAGGAACGGACAUCAACAGAGACUCCCCAAGUAGCGGCGAGCGAACGGGGAUCAGCCUAAACCACAUUAGUGCCAAGCCUGAGGGCGUUGCUGAUGUGGGGUCGUGGGACCAGCCUGAGAGUGCCUCAGCCUCUCACAGAGUUACAAAGUCGAACGAUAGUCGAACUGCCCUGGAACGGGCGGCCAUAGCGGGUGACAGCCCCGUAGACGAAAUCGCUCGACCUCUGCGCUGGCACCCGAGUACCGCAGGGCACGUGAAACCCAGCGGGAAUCUGGGAGGACCAUCUUCCAAGGCUAAGUACUACUCGACGACCGAUAGUGAACAAGUACCGUGAGGGAAAGGUGAAAAGUACCCCGGCGAGGGGAGUGAAAUAGUACCUGAAACCGUACGUCUACAAGCAGUUGAAGCACUAUGGCCGCAAGGCAAAGUGCGACAGCGUACCUUUUGCAUCAUGGGCCUGCGAGUUACGCUAUGUCGCGAGGUUAAGCCGUGAGGUGGAGCCGUAGGGAAACCGAGUCCAAAUAGGGCGAUUUAGUGGCAUGGCGUAGACCCGAAACCGAGCGAUCUA